UACGUAGGGGGCAAGCGUUGUCCGGAAUCAUUGGGCGUAAAGAGCGUGUAGGCGGCUCGGUAAGUCCGCUGUAAAAGUCCAGGGCUCAACCCUGGAAAGCCGGUGGAAACUGUCGAGCUAGAGUGCGGAAGAGGCGAGUGGAAUUCCUGGUGUAGCGGUGAAAUGCGCAGAUAUCAGGAGGAACACCUAUUGCGAAGGCAGCUCGCUGGGACGUAACUGACGCUGAGACGCGAAAGCGUGGGGAGCAAACAGG
Molecule: ribosomal RNA, 253 nt
Filed under: uncultured bacterium
Lineage: Bacteria
Description: partial 16S ribosomal RNA
Rfam family: Bacterial small subunit ribosomal RNA
Source: RNAcentral